UAAGGAAUAUUGCUCAAUGGGAGAAAUCCUGAAGCAGCAACGCCGCGUGGAGGAUGAAGGGUCUAUGACUUGUAAACUCCUGUAAAGAAGGAAAAAAUUCCCAUUUGAUGGGAGAUGAUGGUACUUCUGGAGUAAGCCCCGGCUAACUACGUGCCAGCAGCCGCGGUAAUACGUAGGGGGCAAGCGUUGUCCGGAUUUACUGGGUGUAAAGGGUGCUCAGGCGGAUUUGUAAGUCAGAGGUGAAAUCUUACAGCUUAACUGUGAAACUGCCUUUGAUACUGCAAGCCUAGAGUAUGGAAGAGAGUGAUUGAAUAUCUGGUGUAGCAGUGAAAUGCGUAGAUAUCAGAUAGAACACCAAUGGCGAAGGCAGUCACUUGGUCCAUUACUGACGCUAAAGCACGAAAGCGUGGGUAGCAAACA
Molecule: ribosomal RNA, 420 nt
Filed under: uncultured bacterium
Lineage: Bacteria
Description: bacterial SSU rRNA
Rfam family: Bacterial small subunit ribosomal RNA
Source: RNAcentral